GUGCCAGACUCCUACGGGAGGCAGCAGUCGGGAAUAUUGCGCAAUGGAGGAAACUCUGACGCAGUGACGCCGCGUAUAGGAAGAAGGUUUUCGGAUUGUAAACUAUUGUCGUUAGGGAAGAGAAAGGAUAGUACCUAAGGAGGAAGCCCCGGCUAACUACGUGCCAGCAGCCGCGGUAAUACGUAGGGAGCGAGCGUUAUCCGGAAUUAUUGGGUGUAAAGGGUGCGUAGACGGGAAAGCAAGUUAGUUGUGAAAUCCCUCGGCUUAACUGAGGAACUGCAACUAAAACUACUUUUCUUGAGUGCAGGAGAGGUAAGUGGAAUUCCUAGUGUAGCGGUGAAAUGCGUAGAUAUUAGGAGGAACACCAGUGGCGAAGGCGGCUUACUGGACUGUAACUGACGUUGAGGCUCGAAAGCGUGGGGAGCAAACAGGAUUAGAUACCCGGGUAGAA
Molecule: ribosomal RNA, 451 nt
Filed under: uncultured bacterium
Lineage: Bacteria
Description: bacterial SSU rRNA
Rfam family: Bacterial small subunit ribosomal RNA
Source: RNAcentral